UUAAGAAAAACAGCAGCCGCUGAAAUCUCUUAAGGAGGCUAGUUCUGUGCCAACUACUGUUCUAAAGUCUUUGCAGGUAUUAACUUGUUUAAUCUUCACAACAGCCUACAUGACAGGGACUACUAGAUCCUGAAGUGCAGAGACUGAGGCCCAGAGAGGUUAAGAAAGGCGCCCAAGGUGAUCAGCUAGCAACAAAUAGAGCUGGGAUCAAGUCCAGGGGUCUGAGCCGGUCAGAGCUGGGUCCCUCCUGGUGAAGUCUAAUGGGACCAUGGAGUGGGCUCAUGAGCUGGAGAUUCAUGCAAUAGACAUGCCUGCUGUUCCUUGCUGCCUCAUCAGCAUGUGGUAUUCUUGAUGCCCCACAAGCAGAGUGUUCCAGGGAACCCAUGAUGCAUGGAAGGGUGACUCAAAAAUGGCAUCAAGGCAUCAAAUAGCAAAUAAAAAGUAUCACAACAAGAUGAGAGAGAAAGACUGGAAGAAAGAAGAAAGCUCUAUAUUUUAGUAACUUCAAGGACACUUUUUUCCUGCUUUUUGAAGAAGAGGUCCCACAUUUUCAGUUUGAACAAGGAGCCCCACAAUUGUGAGAACAACCUGACAGAGGGCACAGAGACUGAGGAUACGAGGCCCACUCAGAUCCCAGAGUUAUUAAGAGAGGAAGAAACCGGUGCUUUGAAAGGUUGAACAAGCUGCCCACAUCACUUGACUGGCAAGCAGCACAGCCAAUCACCAUGGACCCACAGCCUCAGCCACCAACUUUUCUCUGUCCUGCCUGCUGGGGUAACACAACUAAUUCUUUUGCCCCAUCUCCUUGGAUGUCAGACUCCUCCUGUAUAUAGGGACUUGAAAAAGCUGUCCUGGAGUUUGGAGCAGAUUCAGCUAAAGGCCAUCACAUUUUGGGAACAGAAUGACGAAAGUCAACAGAACACAGCGAGUCUCUGCAGGAGAACCACCCGAAGGCAUGGCUCUGAGCUGGAGAAAGGGCCAAGCCUGACUAAUGAGUCAAGGUGGCCGGAGCUGACUACCUGUAGAAAGGCAAGGCAAGGCUCACUGAACUCCCGUCCUGGGCUCACCAGAAUUUGAUGCUUACCAAGCGACAAGGAACAGAGGACACAAGUUCAAAGAUGAAAUUAAGAAUUUCAAGACGGUGACAGCAGAAUAGUAAACCAAGCCUGGGUCCCUCCUGAGCCCGGGGCUUCACGUGCAAAGUGCAUGUGUUGUGGACGCCCGGUGGUGAGCCUGAGACAGCAGAAACCGAGGCCGCCAUGCAUCUCGAACGUGCCUCCUCUGCUCCCACGCGUGCUUGACCCAUCUGGACUUCACUUACAAAACGUAAGUUUGAAUAUGCGAUUAUUAAUAACUGCAAGAUGGCAACAGGAGAGUAUGAAACCAAAAGCGUAGCCCUUCUGAGUGGGACCCUGUGCGACUGUACAGGUCACCGAUGGCCAGGUGACAAGAUAUGCCAUGGAGAAACUGCAUGAAGGCCCAACGCGUGCCCAUGUCCUGUGUCUCCCUUUGUCAUUUGUAGGGUGUGGGGAUCCCUGUACCCCACUCUUUCCUGUCCUCCUCCUCUUGCCCCCAUCCACUCUGCCACUGCUCUCCCAUAGCUCCGGGUCCCCCAGAGCUAAAUGCUUGGCUUUGGGGAUGCAGGGCCCCCGCCAAUGGGCCUGGCAGUGGGCCUGCUCUAGGAGCACUGCAGUAGGCAAGGCCACCUGCCUUGUGGCUGCCACCCACCCAGGGCUGCGGAAAGGCCUGGCCGAAAGAGGGCUGGGGGAGCCUGACUGGAGCGGGGGCCUCUCCUGUGACCGACACCAAGGCUGUCCAGAGUGCCUGGGGAGCCCAGCAAGGCCUUGCCACACCCCCUGCAGCCUCCGGUUUGGCCCCUGCCUCUUGCCUUCCAGCCCAAACCCCUCCACCCUGUAGCCAGGGAAGUCUUUCAGAAGCACACAUUGGGUGGUUUGGGUCAUCAGCCUUGGCUGGUGUGACAGGGUCGCAGUGGCCGGCCCCUGUUCACCUCUCCAGUCUCAUCGCCAGAGUCUCUUUCCAACUGUCUGACCCGGGCCAGUCCCUCCGGAGGGAGCGUCGUGGUGUGUGCUACCAGGAUCGGGAGGUCCCAUGGUGGGAUGCUGUAAACAGGGGCUUCAAGGGAGCACAGAACGGCUCAGGUACCAGGCAGCCAGACCCCAACUCUCAGUUCUGCUGAAGCCACGGGAUGCCUGGGUGUUGAAGUAGACCUGGUGCAGAGACACAGAGUGCCAGCAUGUCUGGAGGGGAAGCAGGGAUGGGAGAGAUGUCGGGGACAGAGACUCAUUUCUGGCUGAGCACCUGGCUCAUCUCAUCCUCUGCCUUUUGUCUGAGCUGACCGUAAUUAGUCCUCUUAGUUCCCUGCGGGUGAGCCAGGCUGUGCAGGGGUUCAGAAGACCUGAAGCACAUCUUCUCAUCCUGGUCCAAGCUGGACUAUUUCUGGCAGUUUAAUUGUGGAUGCUGUGUUCCUGGCGUGAGAAGGAAGGCAGGAAGGACCUGGAGGAAGUUGGAGCAGGAGGGAAACUCUGGCGGCGUGACUUUUCCAACCAUGGCCCCUUAGGAACAGGCUGCUCCUGGCAGCUCAGCUAUUCUGCUGCCACCUAUUCUAGCUCGUGGCAGGAAGCUGGCUUAGCUGGGAGGGGAAGCUUCUUGUUAGACUCAAGGGACCAAAGUGCAUUUGCAGAAGAGCCAUUGAGAUCUGUGUAACUGUCAAGUUCUGGGUACCCACUGAGUUCUGUGUAAAGAGGGGGUUAGGCUUGGGGUCCAACAGACCCAGACCAACAGCACCUCUGUCCCUCCCAGGGUGGUGUGACAAUCCUUGGAAAUAACUACACGGCCAGGGCCAACUCGGUACUGGGCACACAACACACGAUCCAUCAAUGGUGGUGGGCACCCCUGUCUCUUCCUUCCUUCCUUAAUAAAGACAUCUCAGGGUGAAAAGGGGAUGGCGCUAGGCAAUACUAGGGUGGAGUGGAGGGUCUUUAGGGUGUACAGCCAGUGUGGAAAUCCACAGACCUGAGGGUGGGCCAGCAGGAAGGAAUUUGGGUGAGGAUGGUCUUUAAAAACCCAACAGAACAGAGUGGUUACUGACGCCCUCUCUUGAUACUUAAGAAGGGAAAAAGAAUCAGCUUCAAAAUCUAAGACAAUGGAUUGUAGUAUCUUUGAUGGAAUUCAAACUCAGCCUGAAUUCUGGGACACAUUAUGAAACAACUAGUGAAGAAAGCUGAGAUCAUGAAGAAGUUCAGUGUGUUUGUUAUUACUUUGUUAUUUAUUUAUUUACAGGGCUGAGCAGAGGGUUGGCAUCUAAUCUAUGCCCCUGAAAGUGAACUGACUGUAGUUCAAAGUGAUACCAUUUUUCUUCUGAUGGUAGGGUUACUAUGGGCAUCCUAGGAAUAUGUCCUGUAUGUAGGCUAUUUUAGCAUCUGGCAGGGCAUCCGAGAGUUCUUGAAAUCUUCAUGAACCGCAGAGUGAAAAUACAAACUGAAUGUUGGCCAGUUAAGGUAGGAUUGGGUUUGGUUGUCUGACCAGCAGUGAAUCUGGUAAACCCAUGCAAUUGUCAAUAUUUGGUUUAAUCUACAAAAAUGGCUAUUUCAUAUGUUCCACCUACUAUUUGUUGGACUAGGGAACCAUCUACUUCCCUUCCCACACAAGGGUUCUGUAUUGCUGUGAAAGUCUGCUUGUUCAUUGGAAUGUGAACUUCAGCCGCCACAGUGCCUAGUGAAACAAGCUCCGAUUCUGGGGUCAGAAGGCCCUAAGUUCAAAUCCUGACCCUGCCGCUCCCAAGAUUCAGGAAGGAGCAUGCAAACUGUGGCGCCUGCCCAUUGGGGGUUCCUGCCCUCCUCUCUGCUGAGGGUCUUUGGUCUGUAACCGGGUCUCCAUUGUACUUGGUGUGAAGGAUUGAGUGGGGUUGAGGCUGGAAUGUGUAGGGUAAGAGCUGGAGGAGCAGGAAGGGGCAGAGCACUGGGUCUAGGAUCCAGGGAGGAGCUAGGGUAGGGUUGGGACAGUGGAUAAGGUCACAUCAUGGAGAGGUGCCAGGCAGGUGCUGUGAGCUGAGCAGUGUUGGAGGCAAAAUGGAGACAUCAGCUGAGGCUGGACACAUAACCCAGGGCACCCACCUGUCUCUUCAAUAUGCUGUAAACCCAGCCAUUCCCCACCUCAGUGGCCUUCAGCUGCAAGUCUUCAUCCUCCAGAUGGAGGGUCUGCAGGCGAACCACAGUGCUGGGCUGGACAACUGUUUCGGCAGCAUGCUGGGCUUGUUCUGGGUCUGGGAUGAAGGGUCAGUGGCCAGCUGGACAUGCUUCCCUCAAGGUGGGAGGUCAGAGCUUCCUAAGGUGUGAGUGAAAUCAGGCCUUGCCAGUUAAGGCCUAAGCUCAGAAUUGGCACCCUAUCACUUCUGCCAAAACCCCACUGACCAGAGCAGGUCACAUGGCCAAGCCCAGUAUAAAUGGCGCAGGGAAGUGCAUGGGCCUGAGCAGGGGGCAGAGGAACGGGAGUGAAUGAUCACUGCAGGAUAAUCCAGGCCACCACUGUGUUCAAGACCCGUGCAGAGUCAGCAGGCACUAGAGCGAGUGUCCAAGCCUGCCGAGAACUUCUCUUUACAAAACCAGGGACACACUGCCGGGUGGCUCUAAGAGUUUCUAGUGAUAAAAAUGGCAGCUCCCAUUCUACCUUUGCUGUGAGCCACUUGCAUUUCAGCCAGGCUUCAAAUGAGCCCCAAGUGGGUUUUACCACUCCACUUUCCAGCUGAAGACACUGAGUUGUAGAGUGGUUGGCAGCUUACGCUGGCCCACAGGUAUUCCACACGAUAUUCCACACAGUAUUCCACAAGGUAUUCAACACAAUAUUCCAUGUGGUAUUCCACACUAUAUUCCACACGUUAUUCCACACAAUAUUCCACAUGGUAUUCCGCACAACAUUCCACAUGGUAUUCCACAUGAUUUUCCAAACAGUAUUCCAGACAAUAUUCCACACGGGAUUCCACACAAUAUUCUACACAGUAUUCCACAUGAUAUUCCACACGGUUUUCCACAAGGUAUUCCACACAAUAUUACACAAGGUAUUCCACAUGGUAUUCAACACAAUAUUCCACAUGGUAUUAUAUACAAUAUUCCACAUGGUAUUCUGCACAUUAUUCCACACAAUAUUCCUCUACACUCUGCAACUACAAUUCCAACUCUGUGUGGAAUAUUCCACAUAUCGUGUGG
Molecule: long non-coding RNA, 5222 nt
Organism: Cercocebus atys (sooty mangabey)
Lineage: Eukaryota; Metazoa; Chordata; Mammalia; Primates; Cercopithecidae
Exons: 6
Source: RefSeq, a predicted model, not a curated record